RNAcentral lists this ribosomal RNA (450 nucleotides) under Triticum aestivum (bread wheat). RNAcentral's name for it is "partial small subunit ribosomal RNA". The record is from RNAcentral. Lineage: Eukaryota; Viridiplantae; Streptophyta; Magnoliopsida; Poales; Poaceae.
AUGGCGCAGGCGAUCGAGGCUCAGAGGGAAGGCGCGGAGGUGUAUCACGGCGCGGCGCUGUGCGCGGAGAAGGCGGUGGAGCUGCUGGCCGAGACCAACAUGCCGCUGGGCCUGCUGCCGCUGGCGGACAUCGAGGAGGUGGGCUACAACCGCGCCACCGGCUUCGUGUGGCUGCGCCAGAAGAAGGCGCUCACGCACACCUUCAAGCAGAUCGGGCGGCAGGUCUCGUACGGCACCGAGGUGACGGCCUUCGUCGAGGACCGCAAGAUGAAGCGCAUGACCGGGGUCAAGAGCAAGGAGCUCCUCAUCUGGAUCACCCUCUGCGACAUGUACAUCGACAAGGAUGACCCCUCCAAGAUCACCUUCAAGACGGCCACCGGGCUCGGCAGGACCUUCCCCGUCUCCGCCUUCGGGAAAGAGGACUGCAAGGAGGCCGCGGUGGGCAAGUAA